Long non-coding RNA from Aquila chrysaetos chrysaetos, 498 nucleotides. RefSeq lists it as uncharacterized. NCBI's taxonomy places the organism in Eukaryota, Metazoa, Chordata, Aves, Accipitriformes, Accipitridae. The transcript has 4 exons. The record is from RefSeq and is a predicted model, not a curated record.
CUUUGGAGAGGCAAAAUCUGAGGUCCAGGGUGCUCUAGUCAUUUUUGACAAGAAAGAAACUGGAACUGAAAACCUGACAUUUUGCAAGGGCAAGGAGGAGGUUAAAUACUUCCAUGCCCAUGAAGAAUUAUGCAGGAUGCUCUUUUCACCAGAGACAGAAGAUGGGGAAUUUGUAAAGCUUAUGCUGAAAGCGAACAGGCUUCAGUCCAUGAGAAGUGUGUUAGACCAGAAGGUCUGGAAGGAAUAGUUCAUGCUUCAGGUCUGCUUACGAGAAUUAUACACCAAAACCAAGCACAAGACCGGAUAUUAUUGAAAAGUCUGUGCCGUGGAAGUACUGAUGCUACUGGGUCAAGGUACUCAGAUGCUAUGCUGUUGUAUGAAUCCAGCUAUGCUGCUACAUUAUUCUUCUGUCUUCGAUUUUCUAUGGUAAAUGUAGCAUUGGGGUUAGUUAUAUUAGCAUUAGCUAUAUUGGGGGUUUGCUGUUACUUGUUUUUUCUU